Molecule: ribosomal RNA, 2745 nt
Filed under: Eriocheir sinensis (Chinese mitten crab)
Lineage: Eukaryota; Metazoa; Arthropoda; Malacostraca; Decapoda; Varunidae
Description: bacterial LSU rRNA
Rfam family: Bacterial large subunit ribosomal RNA
Source: RNAcentral
GGGCGCAAUGGGGAAUGCCUAAGGCUCUCACGCGGGCGAGGAAGGACGCGGAUUAACCCGAAAUUGUAGGGAGCGGCAACAUACGUGUAGAUCCUACAGUGUCCGAAUGGGGCAACCCAAUACACUGCGGUAAAAAAACAAUGAAAAGUGGAGGCAAACGGGGGGACUGGAAAAUCUAAGUAAAAAAAAGGAAGAGAAAACCAACAUGAUUCGUAAGUAGUGGCGAGCGAACACGGAGAAGCCCAAACCUGAAGGCGUUACGGCGCAUUAGGUUAAUUAGGACUACUAUUAGAAACUCUGAAAGCUGAUUGUCUGGGAAGGCAACUUCGCGAAGAGGUGAAAGACCGUAAAGCGAACAAAGUGGGGACGUAGUAGAAUCCUGAGUAGUGGGGACCGAGGAUCCCUCUGAAAAUGGGCGGCACCAUCCGACAAGGCUAAAAUACGACUGAGAGAAGAUAGUGAACGGUAAAGGAGGGAAAGGUGAAUAAGUACCGGGAGAUAACGGGGUGAAAUAUAGGAAACCUGAAACCAUCGCUUCACCAGCGGGCGAGCCCUUAGGUGACGCCGGCCUUAUUGCAUAAUGUAAGCACGAGUUUGUUUUAUUAGCGAGGUUAAGUUUUUAAAGGGUAGGGAGCCGAAGCGAAAGGCGCAGUCUGAAUAGGGGCGAUUAGUUAAAAUGUAGAGGCAGACGCGCAAACUUUGUGAUCUCACCCGUGGUUUUUUUUGUCAAGGUUGAAGUGUGGGUAACACUACAUGGAGGACGAACAGUAAAACGUUGAAAAAGUUUUUGGAUUUUUUUGCGGGUAGGGUGAAAGGCAAUCAAACUGAAAGAAAAUAGCUCCGUAUACCGGAAAAUGUUUUUUUUAAGGAACAGCGUUGUGGGGGCGUUUGUGUCAGGUAGAGCUACCGAUAGGAUGCGGGGAGUCAAAUUCUACAAAUUCUGACGAACUCCGAAUGGGCAUAAAUAGACUACAUGCAGAUGAGGCCGGGGUGCUAAGGUCACGGUCCGAGAGGGGAACAACCCAGAGCAACCGCUAAGGUCUAAGUAUGAUACUAAGUGAGACGAAAGGAAGUCUGACUGCCGAGACAGCCAAGGAUGGUUAGCCUUUUGGAGCAGCCUACAUUUAAAAAGUAGUGCGUAACAGCUCACUGGUCGAUGCGGCGGGGCGCGAUAAAACGGGCAUCAAAAAGUAUCUCACCGAGCCGAUGCGAUAGUAAUAUCGGUAGGGGAGCAUUCCAUUUGCAGGCGAGUUGUGGCGUGAGCAUGGUGGAUGGGAUGGAAAAGCAAAUGUAGGCAUAAGUAACGAUAUGUAUGUGAGACCCAUAUCAACCCGUAAGAAGCUAAGGAUCCUCAGCUAAUGUCAAUCAACUGAGGGUUAGUCGUGGGCCUAAGGGGAAGGCGAAGGCCGCACUGAACGGAUCAGCAGGUUAAUAUUCCUGCAACCUGAAUGCAAGUGUGAAGCGCACGGGGUAGGGGCGUAUACGAAGUGACGGAAAGUCUUCGUUGAGCGGGCGUUUACGGACAAAGCGAAUAUUUGAACUGGCCUCCAAGAAAAAACCGCUGAAACAUCAGGCUUUGCAUGAGCCGUACCGUAAACCGACACAGGUAGCUGGGUAGAAUAUACCAAGGUGCUCAAGUGAAUCACGGUUAAGGAACUAGGCAAAUUAACCUGUAACUUCGGGAGAAAGGGAGCCGGAAAAAUGUGGUCGCAGAGAAAUGGCCCAGGCGACUGUUUAACAAAAACACAGGGCUAUGCGAAGAUUAAUGUCGACGUAUAUUGGCCUGACACCUGCCCGGUGCUGGAAGGUUAAGAGGGGAUGUUAUCGCAAGAGAAGCAUUGAAUCGAAGCCCCAGUAAACGGCGGCCGUAACUAUAACGGUCCUAAGGUAGCGAAAUUCCUUGUCGGGUAAGUUCCGACCUGCACGAAUGGUGUAACGAUCUGGGCACUGUCUCAGCCGUGAGCUCGGCGAAAUUGUAGUGACGGUGAAGAUGCCGUCUUACCCGCCACGGGACGGAAAGACCCCGUGAACCUUUACUAUAGCUUAGCGUUGUGACUGGAUAUCAGAUGUGUAGGAUAGGUGGGAGGCAUUGGGUGGCGUCGCCAGGCGUCAUUUAGCCAACGUUGAAAUACCACCCUUUUGAUAUUUGGUUCCUAAGGAUGGGGGACACCGCUGGUGGGUAGUUUGACUGGGGUGGUCGCCUCCAAAAGAGUAACGGAGGCUUUCAAAGGUUCCCUCAGCACGCUUGGUAACGUGCGUGAGUGCAAUAGCAAAGGGAGCUUGACUGCGAGACAAACAAGUCGAACAGGUACGAAAGUAGGAUAUAGUGAUCCGGUGGUUCUGCAUGGAAGGGCCAUCGCUCAAAGGAUAAAAGGUACUCCGGGGAUAACAGGCUGAUCUCCCCCAAGAGCUCAUAUCGACGGGGAGGUUUGGCACCUCGAUGUCGGCUCGUCACAUCCUGGGUGGAGAAGGUCCAAGGUUCGGCUGUUCGCCGAUUAAAGUGCGCGAGCUGGGUUCAGAACGUCGUGAGACAGUUCGGUCCCUAUCUGUGAUGGGCGUAGGAAGUUGACGGCUGACCUUGUACGAUGCGGGAUAGCUGCGACUCCACCGACGACUGGUGGGCAACUCGAGCGCUAUGAGUAAUGAAGAUGACGAGGCCGUAGCGCACUGGCCGAGUAGCUACGUGGGCAACAGAUAAGCGCUGAAGGAUCUGACUGACUGACAAAAAAAAAAAUGGAGAAUUGA